RNAcentral lists this long non-coding RNA (1014 nucleotides) under Lepisosteus oculatus (spotted gar). RNAcentral's name for it is "lncRNA (ENSLOCG00000021451.1)". Lineage: Eukaryota; Metazoa; Chordata; Actinopteri; Semionotiformes; Lepisosteidae. The record is from RNAcentral.
ACGCAGAACAAACUUUUCUUUCUUUUUUUUAAUACAACAAAAAUGCAACAAAUACACCUGUCCGUGUCUCACCCCUAUCUCAUCCAAGUGAUAAGAGUUUAUAAAUGGACCAAUUUGUCCCGGACCGGAGGUGGUCCGGGCUGCUAAGUUUCCCAUACAGGACAGGUCAGAUUGGGGGCUCAAAGCACCAGGGCCCGUCUAGUCCUUUCCCAGAAGAACUUCCCGGGCUGGCACGGCCCAGACAGGUUCCGUCUCGGCAGCAGAGUGAGGAAACGGGAACACAACGUUGCCGGCGCGUCCUGGGUGUGGAUUUCGCCACAGGGGGGCUUCUGUACGUUUCCGAGCUGAAGCCCCUCUCGGUCCGGAUCCGCUGGCUGUCACCCGAGCUUCCCCGCCGUGCCUGCCUGCCUGGAUCGGGACAGCCCGACCCCGCCACAGGAUCCUAGAGCGUUCCCCCAGCCUGGGUCUGGGGACCCCGAAACCUGCUGCUCUUCCACAGGGCUAAUGGAGCUAAUGAGCCGCUUGACUGGAAUAUCUGCCAGAUCUGGAAGUGGAAAUCACUCCCAGUCUCACACACCCACACACUCACAAUACACACCCACUCUCACUCACACACCCACAGUACACACCCACACAUUACACACCCACUCUCACUCACACUCACAAUACACACCCACUCUCUCACAAUACACACCCACUUUCAAUACACACCCACUCUCAAUACACACCCACUCACAUUCCCAAAAACCCACUCACUCACACACAAACACACACACAGGGAUGGGAUGGGGACCACUGUCUGGUGCAGGUGGUCUCUCUCUCUCUGCUUCCUGGCACCAGCGAGCAGAAUCCGGACAGGAGGGCCUGUCAGCUGUUUCUCCAGCCCCACCGGGCCCGGUGCCGUGUAGAACCCUGGUCCACUCCACAGCCCCGGAUCCAGCCCGUCCUCGGUUCUGAUCCGCUCGGUUCUUCGGCAGCCGGACCAGCGCAGCUGGCCGGGAGGCAGUCUGGCGG